This 486-nucleotide ribosomal RNA is filed under the name uncultured bacterium. Its description in RNAcentral is "bacterial SSU rRNA". It matches the Rfam family "Bacterial small subunit ribosomal RNA", at positions 30 to 507 of the family's 1533-position model. The record is from RNAcentral.
AUUGAACGCUGGCGGCAGGCUUAACACAUGCAAGUCGAGCGGGGAUAGGGUGCUUGCACCUGAUUCCUAGCGGCGGACGGGUGAGUAAUGCUUAGGAAUCUGCCUAUUAGUGGGGGACAACGUUCCGAAAGGGACGCUAAUACCGCAUACGUCCUACGGGAGAAAGCAGGGGAUCUUCGGACCUUGCGCUAAUAGAUGAGCCUAAGUCGGAUUAGCUAGUUGGUGGGGUAAAGGCCUACCAAGGCGACGAUCUGUAGCGGGUCUGAGAGGAUGAUCCGCCACACUGGGACUGAGACACGGCCCAGACUCCUACGGGAGGCAGCAGUGGGGAAUAUUGGACAAUGGGGGCAACCCUGAUCCAGCCAUGCCGCGUGUGUGAAGAAGGCCUUUUGGUUGUAAAGCACUUUAAGCGAGGAGGAGGCUUACCUGGUUAAUACCUGGGAUAAGUGGACGUUACUCGCAGAAUAAGCACCGGCUAACUCUGUG